AAACGCUUGAAGUCAGUCGCGUUUGUUAGAACUCAGCUUGGCUUUUGCUUAGUGUACUUUCUAAUGAACGGGCCAACAUCGAUUUCAGUCAGUGGAUAAGGGUAGGGGGAAUGUGGCACCCUCGGGUGUGUUAUAGCCUCUUAUCGUAUACAUUUACUGGGAUCGAGGUCUGCAGCACUUGUGCUUAGGAUGUUGGCAUAAUGGCUUUAAUCGA
RNAcentral lists this ribosomal RNA (214 nucleotides) under Resinicium friabile. RNAcentral describes it as "partial large subunit ribosomal RNA". Lineage: Eukaryota; Fungi; Basidiomycota; Agaricomycetes; Hymenochaetales. The record is from RNAcentral.